RNAcentral lists this ribosomal RNA (253 nucleotides) under uncultured bacterium. Its description in RNAcentral is "partial 16S ribosomal RNA". It matches the Rfam family "Bacterial small subunit ribosomal RNA", at positions 524 to 776 of the family's 1533-position model. The record is from RNAcentral.
UACGGAGGAUGCAAGCGUUAUCCGGAUUCAUUGGGUUUAAAGGGUGCGCAGGCGGAUCGUUAAGUCAGGGGUGAAAUCCCACAGCUCAACUGUGGAACUGCCCUUGAUACUGACAGUCUAGAGUAUAGUUGAAGUGGGCGGAAUGUGUCAUGUAGCGGUGAAAUGCUUAGAUAUGACACAGAACACCGAUCGCGAAGGCAGCUCGCUAAGCUAUAACUGACGCUCAUGCACGAAAGCGUGGGGAUCAAACAGG